AGUGAACGCUGGCGGUAGGCCUAACACAUGCAAGUCGAACGGCAGCACAGUAAGAGCUUGCUCUUACGGGUGGCGAGUGGCGGACGGGUGAGGAAUACAUCGGAAUCUACUUUUUCGUGGGGGAUAACGUAGGGAAACUUACGCUAAUACCGCAUACGACCUACGGGUGAAAGCAGGGGAUCUUCGGACCUUGCGCGAUUGAAUGAGCCGAUGUCGGAUUAGCUAGUUGGCGGGGUAAAGGCCCACCAAGGCGACGAUCCGUAGCUGGUCUGAGAGGAUGAUCAGCCACACUGGAACUGAGACACGGUCCAGACUCCUACGGGAGGCAGCAGUGGGGAAUAUUGGACAAUGGGCGCAAGCCUGAUCCAGCCAUACCGCGUGGGUGAAGAAGGCCUUCGGGUUGUAAAGCCCUUUUGCUGGGAAAGAAAAGCAGCAGGUUAAUACCCCGCUGUUCUGACGGUACCCAAAGAAUAAGCACCGGCUAACCUCGUG
Molecule: ribosomal RNA, 492 nt
Filed under: uncultured bacterium
Lineage: Bacteria
Description: partial 16S ribosomal RNA
Rfam family: Bacterial small subunit ribosomal RNA
Source: RNAcentral